RNAcentral lists this ribosomal RNA (433 nucleotides) under uncultured bacterium. RNAcentral describes it as "partial 16S ribosomal RNA". It matches the Rfam family "Bacterial small subunit ribosomal RNA", at positions 29 to 507 of the family's 1533-position model. The record is from RNAcentral.
AACGAACGCUGGCGGCAUGCCUAACACAUGCAAGUCGAACGAGACCUUCGGGUCUAGUGGCGCCCGGGUGCGUAACGCGUGGGAACCUGCCCUUAGGUUCGGCCUAACUCCCCGAAAGGGGUGCUAAUACCGGAUAAUGUCUUCGGCCCAAAGAUUUAUCGCCUUUGGAUGGGCCCGCGUUGGAUUAGCUAGUUGGUAGGGUAAAAGCCUACCAAGGCGACGAUCCAUAGCUGGUCUGAGAGGAUGAUCAGCCACACUGGGACUGAGACACGGCCCAGACUCCUACGGGAGGCAGCAGUGGGGAAUAGUGGACAAUGGGCGAAAGCCUGAUCCAGCAAUGCCGCGUGAGUGAUGAAGGCCUGAGGGUUGUAAAGCGCUUUUACCCGGGAUGAUAAUGACAGUACCGGGAGAAUAAGCUCCGGCUAACUCCGUG